This 3864-nucleotide long non-coding RNA is filed under the name Homo sapiens (human). RNAcentral's name for it is "HSALNT0316054". Lineage: Eukaryota; Metazoa; Chordata; Mammalia; Primates; Hominidae. The record is from RNAcentral.
UGAUGGAGACAUUGCAGUUAGCACAGCAGAAAUAUGUGUCGCCCUCAUGAAGCAUGCAUUCUAGUAGGGAGGGACAGCACAUCAAUAAAGGAAGAUUAUUUCAUACGGGGACAAGUUCUAUAAAAAUAAUAAAACUGUAGUGGAGAAUGAGUGACUAAGGGUGGUCAGUUAGCUCUUAAAAUAACAAUUUUAUAUUGAAUACUAUAGUGAGUUACACAAUCUUUAUCUGAGUGAAAUCCUUUGGUACUUAUUCAGACAAGAGUUCUGACUCUCAUGCUUGAGGAUAAGAUUUUACAUUUCAGUAUUACAUUGAAGAUGUUUCAUUUUUAACCAGACUAACUUAGUAUAUUGUUAUUUUUAAUGUGACCAAAGAAAUAUUUUCAUAGAAGCUAAUGCUGAGUCUUUUGAUAAUUUGCCGUAUCUUAGUCAAUCCCAAAAAAUUUAUUUUCUACUAUUUACAUAUUAUCCUAGUGGAUAUUACAUUACUUACUGAAGCCUUUGGUUCUAUGUUUCAUCUACUCAGACUUAAUUCAGGAAGAGCUUCAUCCAGAUGUUUUGUUUAUUUGUUUCUCGAUUACAUGUAUGAGAUUUCAGAAUUUAUGAGAUCAUAGGUCAAGUGAAAGGUCACAGUUGAGAGGUCAAGUAAGAAGCUAAAAUUUGUGAAACCAAAGAAAUGACAGGACAGUGCCAAAUGAAAGGUCAAAAGUCAAGUGACAGACUCAGUACAGAUGAAAGCAAGUGUUGGACAAAAUCAUCUGGCAACACAGUACACUAUAGACCAUCAGUGCCCUUGUGAUCAUGUGGCUGACUGGAGGCUGUGGCUGGCUGGUGCUGCCCUGUACCACAUAUAGCUAGCCCAGCAAAAGAUCAGAAUUCAAAAAAAUCCAGUUUCUACUGAAUGCGUGUCUUUCUGGACCAUUAUAAAGUAAAAAAAAAGGUUGAAUUGUGUGUCCACUCCAAAAAAUCUGUCUCAUAUUUCUCUUUGAAUAAAAUUAUACCAUAAACAUUUCUAUAAGAAGUUGACCUGAAGGGACACAUUUACAUUUCACUUUUUAAAAGUUAUACAGCUGUCACUAUAAAAUGUAACAGGCAUAUUGUAACCGUAUCUACUAUGUUAUAGACUUUGUGUCACUUUCAAGUAAAAUAAGUGGUUAUGGAAAGUUUAAUGUGCUGUAAAAUACAAGGAUCUGUACAAUUAAAAAGAAGGUGCUUUACCCUUUAACAUGUGCCAAACGUCUUUCACCCCCAUUUUACUGCAUAUACCUCCUGUUUCUACAAAGCACCCAAGAAGUAGUUCAUCCCCAGAUGACAUUUCUGAUACCGCAUGACCCAGAUUGCCACAAUUUGGGUGAAAUAGCCUGAAGAAUUAUCAAAUAAGAUAGCUAGGAUGAUGUUCUGUAUUCUCUGGUGUUGGUACAGCACCAUGUUUGGGACCCAGAACUUGUACAAGAAUGGCUUAAAGUGACAUCAUCCAGUCUCAAAUGUUUGAUGCUGAAAAGACUCAGGACUAACAGCUUAGAAGAGCAGAAUUAAACCAUUUCAGAAAAUAGUUAUAUGUGUGAGUUGGAGUUCAGAGGAGAAAACUUACUUUAGAGCUUGAUAUUUAAAAGAUACUUGUUAUGCAUCUUUUUAAUAAAUCAAUAACAAAAUCGAGAAUUAAGUCAUAAUGAACUGGUAUCUUGGAGAUACAUUCAAACUUCCAUUAGGAAGACUGGCCUAUUUAUAAAAUCUGCCCACUUUUAACCUGGUAUCUCAAAGAAAAGCUAAGGUCAGCUGUAUAAGUUGAAAUCACUGCAUUAUUAUAACAUCAAGGAGGCAAGAUGCUUCAUAUCCCAUGUAUCUCAAGAAAGAAAAAAGCUGGCUAAGUUGAUAAAGGGAACUUGCAAUCCAGAACCUUUUUUUUUUCUUUUUGGCACUAAAAGAGGAAAUUUAGAGAAAAGCCAAGAUGGUAGACAGAGGUCUCAAAGUUCUGGCCUGGAGGGAAAUGAGGUGAACAUAGGAGUUAGUGGCUUAUGAGAAGAGGUAGCUGCCUCAAGACACCUGAGAAAUUUUUUGUAAACAUAGAAGUAAAUCCAAAGAGAGUAUUUGUAUAUUCAAGUAUUAUCCCUAAAUAGCCCCCUGAAGUAUUCUUCCUUGACAUUGGAGUAAAGAAAGAUAACUCAAAAAUGCAAUUAAGUCUGCUGUUUGGCAUUUUUAAUCUUCCUUUAUUUGGAAUUUUCUUUGUUUAGUUUUAUUUUGGUUUAAUCAACUUGAUGUUGCAAGUAUUUUUUACCCACAUUAUAUUAUGACAUGAAAAAACAUUGUAGCUGAAAGAAUAGAGAAAUAACCCAUGAAACUGAUUAGGAAAUCAUAGUCUCUUAUAUUAGUGUGUUUUAAAGCAUAAUAGCACCUGGUUGUAGAGGCUUCUGAAGUGCAGAGAAUCUCACACUCAUGAGUGCUAUCUUGAGGGCAUAUUCACAGUAGCCACCUUAUCCAAGCCACUCAGAUACUUUGGGCUUAGCUUUUAAAAAUGACCUGCAGGAGGGGACCAGGGCCAUUGAAAGUAGUAGAAACAGAAUUCACAACCAGAAUCCAGACCUCAUUCAGCUCAAUGGGCCUCUUUCAUCUCUAAGGACCCUCACCUAACUCCCUGGCUAGUGACCAUCACUGACCCAGGAUAGUAACCUCGGCCCCUCCAUGGAUUUAAGAUUAAGCCUUGCCAGUCCCUGGAAACUCUGAUCAGAAGACCAAGCAGCAAGUUUCAUGACUGACCAGAGAAUAUAAUUUCUCAGUCUCAUAAGCCUUUGGGUUCAGAAAUUUUAGUUGAGAUGCUCUUGUGACUUAUUUGGUGUCUGCUGGCUGCCUCUCCACUUGCCCGUUUGGUAGUCACCAACCAUCUCACAUGCGUGGAUGGCACUUUCUAGCUAAACUUAAUCACAGUCCCAACAGGCCUAAGGAAUCUCUUCAGUUCCUGUAUAAGGAGUUGCAACAAAAUCCCAAGUUUGGUCAUGCUGCCCUCCUGCCUCCUAUGUGCUGAUUCCCACUUCUGAAAACACAUCUUGAAUGUGCCUCUUGAAAUGUUGUCAUUUUUCUAAUCUUGUUUCCUUUUUAAAACAAGCAUUUUAUUCCAUGAUUUGCACAGUUCUGCAUCUAUAUCAAUGACUUUUCACCCAUUCCCCCUUUCCAACGCAUUUCUUGGGCAAAAGUUUGUGUCCAGCCUGCCAUUCAGGAAAGGCAAAGGAAAAAUAGGAUAUUAUACCAAAAUUACAACAGGGGAAAUCUAAUUUGUAUCCUUCGUUUAUGCUCGACUCAACAGAUUGUUGCACUGUUAGCCAAGUGCUGGAUGGUCUUACAGCCCAUGGGGCUUUUCAGGUUUCUUGAUUCUCUACGGGCCCCCUUGCCUUGCUUCUCAGUCCCUGGUGGAUAAUGAAUGCCAUACAUUUUAAACUCAGGCCAACUAUUCAAAAAUUAAGUCACACUACAAACAAUGAGCUAUCUCAGUAUUUGUGAAAACUGGAGAAUUAUUUCUUUCCCUUCUUCCCAUCCCCAAUGGCCACUCAGUUUUUACUGUGAGGUUUACUGGGUAGCUGAAGAUGAUGACUGAAGGAAAGGAUAUUCCACUGAAGUGAUAGACUCAGGAUAGCACUGUACUUUUCUAUAUGUGGGUGACAGUGGCCUGGGAAAGUGUUGGGGCUGCGUUUUGAGAACCCUAGGAAGCCAUGGCAUCCCCCUCAAGCCAUUCAAACACCAAAACAACUCAUUUGGGUUUACGUUGUGUUGGAUGACCACUGCAGCUUAAUCAAGACUUCUUCUUGCCAUUGCUUUGAAUUUCCAUCCACUUAGCCAGUAUUGCAUGCUCUAUCACUGCCAGGCCUUUGUUCUUCC